AGGACGAACGCUGGCGGCGUGCUUAACACAUGCAAGUCGAACGAGGUGCUUCGGCACUUAGUGGCGAACGGGUGAGUAACACGUGAGCAACCCUGCCCUUGGCUCUGGGAUAGCCUCCGGAAACGGGGAAUUAAUACCGGACAUGACCUUCUCCUGCAUGGGGGAGGGUGGAAAGUUUUUUCGGCCAGGGAGGGGCUCGCGGCCUAUCAGCUUGGUUGGGGGGGUAACGGCCCACCAAGGCGACGACGGGUAGCC
RNAcentral lists this ribosomal RNA (255 nucleotides) under uncultured bacterium. RNAcentral describes it as "partial small subunit ribosomal RNA". It matches the Rfam family "Bacterial small subunit ribosomal RNA", at positions 26 to 288 of the family's 1533-position model. The record is from RNAcentral.